RNAcentral lists this transfer RNA (73 nucleotides) under Nitrospina sp. RNAcentral describes it as "tRNA-Ile". It matches the Rfam family "tRNA". Rfam says of the family: Transfer RNA (tRNA) molecules are approximately 80 nucleotides in length. RNAcentral also lists the same sequence under 2 other names. The record is from RNAcentral. Lineage: Bacteria; Pseudomonadati; Nitrospinota; Nitrospinia; Nitrospinales; Nitrospinaceae.
GGGCCUAUAGCUCAGUUGGUAGAGCCCCCGGCUCAUAACCGGUAGGUCACAGGUUCGAAUCCUGUUGGGCCCA